UACGGGGGGAGCAAGCGUUGUUCGGAUUUACUGGGCGUAAAGGGCGCGUAGGCGGUAGCACAAGUCAGUUGUGAAAUCUCCGGGCUUAACUCGGAAAGGUCAACUGAUACUGUGCGACUAGAGUGCAGAAGGGGCAACUGGAAUUCUCGGUGUAGCGGUGAAAUGCGUAGAUAUCGAGAGGAACACCUGCGGCGAAGGCGGGUUGCUGGGCUGACACUGACGCUGAGGCGCGAAGGCCAGGGGAGCAAACGGG
This 253-nucleotide ribosomal RNA is filed under the name uncultured bacterium. RNAcentral describes it as "partial 16S ribosomal RNA". It matches the Rfam family "Bacterial small subunit ribosomal RNA", at positions 524 to 776 of the family's 1533-position model. The record is from RNAcentral.